This 791-nucleotide ribosomal RNA is filed under the name uncultured bacterium. RNAcentral describes it as "bacterial SSU rRNA". It matches the Rfam family "Bacterial small subunit ribosomal RNA", at positions 11 to 790 of the family's 1533-position model. The record is from RNAcentral.
GUUUGAUCCUGGCUCAGGAUGAACGCUAGCUAUAGGCUUAACACAUGCAAGUCGAGGGGUAACAUGAUUAAAGCUUGCUUUAAUUGAUGACGACCGGCGGAUUGGUGAGUAACACGUAUCCAACCUACCGUAUACACGGGGAUAGCCUUUCGAAAGAAAGAUUAAUACCCGAUGGUGUAAUGAAAGCGCAUGNUUUUAUUGCUAAAGAUUUAUUGGUAUAUGAUGGGGAUGCGUUCCAUUAGAUAGUUGGUAGGGUAACGGCCUACCAAGUCAGCGAUGGAUAGGGGUUCUGAGAGGAAGACCCCCCACAUUGGAACUGAGACACGGUCCAAACUCCUACGGGAGGCAGCAGUGAGGAAUCUUGGUCAAUGGGCGCAAUGCCUGAACCAGCCAAGUAGCGUGAAGGAAGACUGCCCUUAGGGUUGUAAACUUCUUUUAUAAGGGAAUAACGAUAGCAACGAGUUGCUAUUUGCAUGUACCUUACGAAUAAGGAUCGGCUAACUCCGUGCCAGCAGCCGCGGUAAUACGGAGGAUCCAAGCGUUAUCCGGAUUUAUUGGGUUUAAAGGGUGCGUAGGNGGGAAAGGAAGUCAGUUGUGAAAUUUUAUGGCUCGACCAUAAACUUGCAGUUGAAACUCUUUUUCUUGAGUACACAUGAGGUGGGCGGAAUUUGUGGUGUAGCGGUGAAAUGCAUAGAUAUCACAAGGAACUCCAAUUGCGAAGGCAGCUCACUGGGGUGUAACUGACGCUAAUGCACGAAGGUGUGGGUAUCAAACAGGAUUAGAUACCCUGG